Long non-coding RNA from Lemur catta (Ring-tailed lemur), 153 nucleotides. RefSeq lists it as uncharacterized. The transcript has 3 exons. NCBI's taxonomy places the organism in Eukaryota, Metazoa, Chordata, Mammalia, Primates, Lemuridae. The record is from RefSeq and is a predicted model, not a curated record.
CUGAACUCCAAGGAGAUCGGGAUAAAAAUGACAGAAUUUGCCGGGAAGAAGGAGUGAGUCUGAGCAAAGAGGAAGGUGCAGGGUUGCUUCUGGAGCCCUAGACAGAAGAAAGAGAAAGCACAGCCCAUCGGUGACAUUAAUAUUAACACGUAC